RNAcentral lists this ribosomal RNA (471 nucleotides) under uncultured bacterium. Its description in RNAcentral is "bacterial SSU rRNA". It matches the Rfam family "Bacterial small subunit ribosomal RNA", at positions 60 to 524 of the family's 1533-position model. The record is from RNAcentral.
AGUCGAACGGCAGCACGGGAGCUUGCUCCUGGUGGCGAGUGGCGAACGGGUGAGUAAAGCAUCGGAACGUACCUUGUCGAGGGGGAUAACGCAGCGAAAGUUGUGCUAAUACCGCAUACGUCCUGAGGGAGAAAGCGGGGGACCGCAAGGCCUCGCGCGAUGAGAGCGGCCGAUGUCAGAUUAGCUAGUUGGUGAGGUAAAGGCUCACCAAGGCGACGAUCUGUAGCGGGUCUGAGAGGAUGAUCCGCCACACUGGAACUGAGACACGGUCCAGACUCCUACGGGAGGCAGCAGUGGGGAAUUUUGGACAAUGGGCGCAAGCCUGAUCCAGCCAUGCCGCGUGAGUGAAGAAGGCCUUCGGGUUGUAAAGCUCUUUCAGACGGAAAGAAAUCGGGCGCGUGAAUAGCGUGCCUGGAUGACGGUACUGUCAGAAGAAGCACCGGCUAACUACGUGCCAGCAGCCGCGGUAAU